Molecule: ribosomal RNA, 253 nt
Filed under: uncultured bacterium
Lineage: Bacteria
Description: partial 16S ribosomal RNA
Rfam family: Bacterial small subunit ribosomal RNA
Source: RNAcentral
UACGUAGGAGGCAAGCGUUAUCCGGAAUGACUGGGCGUAAAGGGUGCGUAGGUGGUCUGGCAAGUUGGCAGCGUAAUCCCGGGGCUCAGCUCCGGUGCUACUGCCAAAACUGUCGGACUUGAGUGCAGGAGGGGUGAAUGGAAUUCCUAGUGUAGCGGUGGAAUGCGUAGAUAUUAGGAAGAACACCAGCGGCGAAGGCGAUUCACUGGACUGUAACUGACACUGAGGCACGAAAGCGUGGGGAGCAAACAGG